Molecule: non-coding RNA, 71 nt
Organism: Cordylochernes scorpioides
Lineage: Eukaryota; Metazoa; Arthropoda; Arachnida; Pseudoscorpiones; Chernetidae
Source: the annotation of a GenBank genome assembly
UGCAUCGGCCGGGAAUCGAACCCGGGCCGUCCGAGUGGCAGACGAUAAUUCUACCACUGAACCACCGAUGC